RNAcentral lists this ribosomal RNA (770 nucleotides) under uncultured bacterium. Its description in RNAcentral is "bacterial SSU rRNA". It matches the Rfam family "Bacterial small subunit ribosomal RNA", at positions 8 to 796 of the family's 1533-position model. The record is from RNAcentral.
AGAGUUUGAUCAUGGCUCAGGAUGAACGUUGGCGGCGUGUCUUAGGCAUGCAAGUCGAGGGAAGCAAUGUAGCAAUACAUUGACUGACCGGCAGACGGAGUAUGACAGUGGUAAAUUACCUCGGAGUCUUGAACAACCCUGCGAAAGCGGGACUAAUACAAGAUGGUCAAGGGGGGGCAUAUGCUAUUCCCUUGUAAAGUUUUUUCGCUCCGAGAGAUGCCUUUGGCCUAUCAGCUAGUUGGUGAGGUAAUAGCUCACCAAGGCUAUGACGGGUAGCGGGUGUGAGAGCAUGACCCGCCUCAGUGGAACUGAAAUACUGUCCACACUCCUACGGGAGGCUGCAGUCGAGAAUUUUCCGCAAUGCACGAAAGUGUGACGGAGCGACGCCGCGUGCAGGAUGAAGGCCUUCGGGUUGUAAACUGCUUUUAUUAGGGAAAAACUAGCGAUGGUACCUAAUGAAUAAGAGGUUGCUAACUCUGUGCCAGCAGCAGCGGUAAUACAGAGACCUCAAACGUUAUCCGGAUUUAUUGGGCGUAAAGCGCUAAAAGGCGGUUUAGAAAGUUAGGUAUUAAAGCCUGGAGCUCAACUUCAGAUCUAUACUUAAAACUCCUAGACUAGAGGGUGGAAGAAGCAAGCGGAAUAGCUAGUGUAGCAGUAAAAUGCGUUAAUAUUAGCUAGAACACCGAUGGCGAAAGCAGCUUGCUAGUACAUACCUGACGCUAAAUAGCGAAAGCGUGGGGAGCGAAUGGGAUUAGAUACCCUAGUAGUCC